GCCGAUCGCAGUGGUGCAUGCCUACAGUCCUAGCUACUCAGGAGGCUGAGGCUGGAGGAUUGCUUGAGCCCAGGAGUUCUGUGCUAUCGUGUGCUAUGCCCAUCGGGUGUCCGCACUAAGUUUGGCAUCAAUAUGGUGACCUCCCGGGAGCAGGGGAACCACCAGGUUGCUUAAGGAUGGGUGAACCGGCCCAGGUCGGAAACAGAGCAGGUCAAAACUCCCAUGCUGAUCAGUAGUGGGAUCGCACCUGUGAAUAGCCACUGCACUCCAGCCUGAGCAACAGAGUGAGACCCCAUCUCU
This 300-nucleotide signal recognition particle RNA is filed under the name Saimiri boliviensis boliviensis (Bolivian squirrel monkey). RNAcentral's name for it is "Metazoan signal recognition particle RNA (ENSSBOG00000010349.1)". It matches the Rfam family "Metazoan signal recognition particle RNA". Rfam says of the family: The signal recognition particle (SRP) is a universally conserved ribonucleoprotein. It is involved in the co-translational targeting of proteins to membranes. The eukaryotic SRP consists of a 300-nucleotide 7S RNA and six proteins: SRPs 72, 68, 54, 19, 14, and 9. Lineage: Eukaryota; Metazoa; Chordata; Mammalia; Primates; Cebidae. The record is from RNAcentral.